Molecule: ribosomal RNA, 497 nt
Filed under: uncultured bacterium
Lineage: Bacteria
Description: partial 16S ribosomal RNA
Rfam family: Bacterial small subunit ribosomal RNA
Source: RNAcentral
GAUGAACGCUGGCGGCGUGCCUAAUACAUGCAAGUCGAGCGAACAGACGAGGAGCUUUCUCCUCUGACGUUAGCGGCUGACGGGUUAGUAACACGUUGAUUACCUACCUUUUAGACUUGGAUUACUUCUGGACACCGGGGCUAAUAUCGGAUAAUUUAUUUUACCCCAUUGUUCAAUAGUUAAAUACGGUUUUUCUGUCAUUUUUAGAUGGAUCCGCGUCUCAUUAGGCAGUUUGUAAUGUAACGGCUUACCAAGGCGACCAUUCGUUGGCGACCUGGGAGGGUGAACGGCAACACUGGAACUGAGACAGGGCCGAGAGUCCUACGGGAGGCAGGAGUAGGGAAGCUACCGAAAAGGGAGAAAGCCUGAAGGAGAAACGCCGCGUGAGUGAUAAAGGUCUUAGGAUCGUAAAACUUUGUUAUUGGGGAAGAACAAAUGUGUAAGUAACUAUGCACGUCUUGACGGUACCUAAUCAGAAAGCCACGGCUAACUACGUG